AGCGAACAGAUAAGGAGCUUGCUCCUUUGACGUUAGCGGCGGACGGGUGAGUAACACGUGGGUAACCUACCUAUAAGACUGGAAUAACUCCGGGAAACCGGGGCUAAUGCCGGAUAACAUUUAGAACCGCAUGGUUCUAAAGUGAAAGAUGGUUUUGCUAUCACUUAUAGAUGGACCCGCGCCGUAUUAGCUAGUUGGUAAGGUAACGGCUUACCAAGGCAACGAUACGUAGCCGACCUGAGAGGGUGAUCGGCCACACUGGAACUGAGACACGGUCCAGACUCCUACGGGAGGCAGCAGUAGGGAAUCUUCCGCAAUGGGCGAAAGCCUGACGGAGCAACGCCGCGUGAGUGAUGAAGGUCUUCGGAUCGUAAAACUCUGUUAUUAGGGAAGAACAAAUGUGUAAGUAACUAUGCACGUCUUGACGGUACCUAAUCAGAAAGCCACGGCUAACUACGUGCCAGCAGCCGCGGUAAUACGUAGGUGGCAAGCGUUAUCCGGAAUUAUUGGGCGUAAAGCGCGCGUAGGCGGUUUCUUAAGUCUGAUGUGAAAGC
This 554-nucleotide ribosomal RNA is filed under the name bacterium 30RD. RNAcentral's name for it is "bacterial SSU rRNA". It matches the Rfam family "Bacterial small subunit ribosomal RNA", at positions 65 to 601 of the family's 1533-position model. The record is from RNAcentral. RNAcentral also lists the same sequence under 1 other name.